UUCCAUUGCCCCCGUCGCUGAUCCGGCGAGGUUCCCUCUCCCAAGCCUCAUUUCAUGGCCGAAUAUCUUGUGAUCUCAUAUGGGUUCUUCCCUAUUAAGGCUUCCAAUUUGUGAAACCACCACCUCUCUUCAAAGAAGCGGCCUUAGUUUUCUAAAAUCCCAUAACUGGAUCUUGGAACCCUAGAUGGCUGGCAAAUCGAUCUUUGUUUGACUGCAGCCAUUGGGAAUUUCUUUCCGUGUCGCAGGCCACUGGGCAAAAUCGAUGGAAGCUGUGGAUUUUUUUCACUAAGUAGAGGUUAAUUUCUAAGCGCAUGUGUUUAUAUGGAGAGAAAUUGAGAAAUUUCUUCAAAAGUUUGUUCUCUGCCAUAGGGAAUAUUCAUGAGCAGUCAUUAUGGAUUUUGUUUUUAACAUUCAUUUUCUGAUACAGCGACUAUAUUUCUGUGGAUAAUUGGAAUGUUGUGGACAUCCUAUGCGUCGUGCCAGAAAUCUUGCAGUACAAUAUUAUAUAGACUCAUAUUUCAAAUCCUCUAUGAACAAUGUAACUUGGUGUACUCUCUGGAAAAAAGAGAGAAUAAAUAUUGAGAAGGUAAUGUAAAAUUCCCUGGUCAUGCUAAACUUUUU
Non-coding RNA from Phoenix dactylifera (date palm), 621 nucleotides. Lineage: Eukaryota; Viridiplantae; Streptophyta; Magnoliopsida; Arecales; Arecaceae. The record is from RefSeq and is a predicted model, not a curated record.